CUGGCUCAGGAUGAACGCUAGCUACAGGCUUAACACAUGCAAGUCGAGGGGCAGCAUGAAGUCAGCUUGCUGACUUGAUGGCGACCGGCGCACGGGUGCGUAACACGUAUCCCAAUCUACCCAUGGCUCAGGGAUAGCCUUUCGAAAGAAAGAUUAAUACCUGAUGGUCUUACAUGGAGACAUCUCCUAGUAAGUAAAGAUUUAUCGGCGAUGGAGUGGGGAUGCGUCUGAUUAGAUAGUAGGCGGGGUAACGGCCCACCUAGUCGACGAUCAGUAGGGGUUCUGAGAGGAAGGUCCCCCACAUUGGAACUGAGACACGGUCCAAACUCCUACGGGAGGCAGCAGUGAGGAAUAUUGGUCAAUGGGCGCGAGCCUGAACCAGCCAAGUAAGCGUGAAGGACGACUGCCCUAUGGGUUGUAAACUUCUUUUGUUUGGGAAUAAAGUGGGCCACGUGUGGCCUUUUGUAUGUACCAUACGAAUAAGCAUCGGCUAAUUCCGUGCCAGCCGCGGC
This 512-nucleotide ribosomal RNA is filed under the name uncultured bacterium. RNAcentral's name for it is "bacterial SSU rRNA". It matches the Rfam family "Bacterial small subunit ribosomal RNA", at positions 19 to 518 of the family's 1533-position model. The record is from RNAcentral.